This 583-nucleotide ribosomal RNA is filed under the name Epibaenus sp. RNAcentral's name for it is "partial 28S ribosomal RNA". It matches the Rfam family "Eukaryotic large subunit ribosomal RNA", at positions 284 to 664 of the family's 3401-position model. The record is from RNAcentral. Lineage: Eukaryota; Metazoa; Arthropoda; Insecta; Coleoptera; Curculionidae.
AGCCCUAAGUGGGUGGUAAACUCCAUCUAAGGCUAAAUAUGACCACGAGACCGAUAGCGAACAAGUACCGUGAGGGAAAGUUGAAAAGCACUUUGAAGAGAGAGUUCAAGAGUACGUGAAACCGUUUAGGGGUAAACCUGAGAAACCCGAAAGGUCGAAGGGAGAAAUUCAUUCGCGUUUCGCCGUAGGCGUGAGACGGUCGAGUGACGGGGGGCGUUCGCGCACUCCCGCGCCUUUCGUUUUUCGAUCCGGCGGCGAACGCGUGCACUUUUCUCCUGGUAGGACGUCGCGAUCCGUUGAGUGUCGGUCUACGACUCGCGGUGGAGACCGGGCGUAAGGCUUUCGGCUUUGCGUUCGGACCCGCGUGUUCCGGCCGACUCGCUCGACGGUAUGCGAAAGGUUAAAGGCCGCUCUCUAGGAGCGUUCGGCUCGCGGCAAGCGCGUCAGAUGCGUUGGCGAUCGGACCCGGUGCCGAUUCUGACCUCUGGCGACUGUUGGCCGUGAAGUUCUCGAACAGACCUUUGUGACCGAUCCGCGACGCUAUUGUUUUGGGUACUUUCAGGACCCGUCUUGAAACACGGAA